Molecule: ribosomal RNA, 403 nt
Filed under: uncultured bacterium
Lineage: Bacteria
Description: bacterial SSU rRNA
Rfam family: Bacterial small subunit ribosomal RNA
Source: RNAcentral
AUUGAACGCUGGCGGCGUGCCUAACACAUGCAAGUCGAGCGGUAACAGGUGUAGCAAUACAUGCUGACGAGCGGCGGACGGGUGAGUAACGCUUGGGAAUCUGCCUAUUAGUGGGGGACAACCCGGGGAAACUCGGGCUAAUACCGCAUACGCACUACGGUGGAAAGCCGGGGACCGCAAGGCCUGGCGCUAACAGAUGAGCCCAAGUCGGAUUAGCUAGUUGGUAGGGUAACGGCCUACCAAGGCGACGAUCCGUAACUGGUCGGAGAGGACGACCAGUCACACCGGAACUGAGACACGGUCCGGACUCCUACGGGAGGCAGCAGUGGGGAAUAUUGGACAAUGGGCGAAAGCCUGAUCCAGCGACGCCGCGUGGGUGAAGAAGGCCUGCGGGUUGUAAAGA